RNAcentral lists this ribosomal RNA (468 nucleotides) under uncultured bacterium. RNAcentral's name for it is "partial 16S ribosomal RNA". It matches the Rfam family "Bacterial small subunit ribosomal RNA", at positions 28 to 507 of the family's 1533-position model. The record is from RNAcentral.
GACGAACGCUGGCGGCGUGCUUAACACAUGCAAGUCGAACGGAAAGGCCCUGCUUUUGUGGGGUGCUCGAGUGGCGAACGGGUGAGUAACACGUGAGUAACCUGCCCUUGACUUUGGGAUAACUUCAGGAAACUGGGGCUAAUACCGGAUAGGAGCUCCUGCUGCAUGGUGGGGGUUGGAAAGUUUCGGCGGUUGGGGAUGGACUCGCGGCUUAUCAGCUUGUUGGUGGGGUAGUGGCCUACCAAGGCUUUGACGGGUAGCCGGCCUGAGAGGGUGACCGGCCACAUUGGGACUGAGAUACGGCCCAGACUCCUACGGGAGGCAGCAGUGGGGAAUAUUGCACAAUGGGCGGAAGCCUGAUGCAGCAACGCCGCGUGCGGGAUGACGGCCUUCGGGUUGUAAACCGCUUUCGCCUGUGACGAAGCGUGAGUGACGGUAAUGGGUAAAGAUGCACCGGCUAACUACGUG